UGGGGAAUAUUGCGCAAUGGGGGAAACCCUGACGCAGCAACGCCGCGUGAAGGAUGAAGGUCUUCGGAUUGUAAACUUCUUUGAUGAGGGAAGAAAAAAUGACGGUACCUCAAAAACAAGCCACGGCUAACUACGUGCCAGCAGCCGCGGUAAUACGUAGGUGGCGAGCGUUGUCCGGAAUUACUGGGUGUAAAGGGCGUGUAGGCGGGAUUGCAAGUCAGAUGUGAAAUUCCGGGGCUUAACCUCGGCGCUGCAUCUGAAACUGUGAUUCUUGAGUGCUGGAGAGGAUAGUGGUAUUCCUAGUGUAGCGGUGAAAUGCGUAGAUAUUAGGAGGAACACCAGUGGCGAAGGCGACUAUCUGGACAGUAACUGACGCUGAGGCGCGAAAGCGUGGGGAGCAAACA
RNAcentral lists this ribosomal RNA (404 nucleotides) under uncultured bacterium. RNAcentral describes it as "bacterial SSU rRNA". It matches the Rfam family "Bacterial small subunit ribosomal RNA", at positions 355 to 774 of the family's 1533-position model. The record is from RNAcentral.